Mauremys reevesii (Reeves's turtle) is the source of this 2618-nucleotide long non-coding RNA. RefSeq lists it as uncharacterized. The transcript is spliced from 4 exons. NCBI's taxonomy places the organism in Eukaryota, Metazoa, Chordata, Testudines, Geoemydidae. The record is from RefSeq and is a predicted model, not a curated record.
CGCAAUAUAUCGAUCCCUGAUAAAUCGAUCGCUACCCACCAAUACUGCCCAAUAGCUCAGUGGAUUCCCUGACAGUGGCUGCACGCUGAGCUCAGAUUUCAUUGGCCUAUCGCUCACCAGGAUGCUCAGGUCUUUUCCUGAUUUAACAUAGAACCACUGACAAGUCUGAGGCGUUCGUUCUUUCCAUAACACAUCAUUUUAGAAGUAUCCAGCUAACAAGCGGAUUUUACACAGUUGUUGGAUUCAGUAGCUGAUAUCAGGGAGCUGAAGAAAGGUGGGGUGGCUGCAUGGGACAAGGGGUCUGCACUGACCACAGCCUGGACACUGCUCUUCUCCUUCCCGCUGCUGAUGGCUCCUUCUAGCUCCAGAUGCUGGUUAACCUCAGUGCAGCCUUCUGUACUAAGGACUGCACAUCUGUAGGGCUUCAGAGCACCCGAGCCCAACUCUCAGUCUGAGGUGACCAACAGUGAGAUAAUCUGCAAAUAUUGCAAGUGCACAUACAGAUCUGGUAAAUCACACUUCCUGCCAGUAACCAGCCGGGCCGGGGAAACUGAUGAUCCAACCAGCAGACCAAAUUCGGUGAUGGAUCCUGGUCACAUGCCACCUGAGGCAUGUUGUGCAUAUGCUAAGAAGUGCUUGUGCAAAUCUUUGUGCCCAACUACCCAACUCACAACCUGAAUAAGUGUGCACGCAAGUUGGAUGUAACAUUGCCCAGUUGUUUUGCACACCCAAACAUUCUACAUUCUGGCCCACAGAACCACACAAGUUGAGGUGGAAAUCCCCCUUAGCUCACAGUGCCCAGGCCCCAAUGCCUAAGCACUUUUCAUACUAUCCAACUCUGUUUUAAAGCAACUUGGCUCCCCCACCCCCAGCCUGGCCCAUCUUACCAUCAGGAAGAGGUUCCUAGUGCUACCCCUAAUCUCUCACUGAAGCCUUUUCCAUCAGGUGUGUUAGCACCCUGCAAACAUCUUGGACCGGCCCCUUACUCACUUACUAGAAGAGCUACAUCAUUCCCUCCCCCAAACAUGGUCCAGACAUGACCACCGCCUUUGAGCCAACACCUCCUCAGAGACAGACAUCUCACCUUGCAAAUUACUGUCUCGUUUUCUGCCCCUUCUCCCCCAUCUUCCCCUCUUCUUGGUUACUUCCCAGCGAAAUCCCAUUCUAUUAUUUCCUACCAAGGUUUCCAGCUUCUCUGGCCCCUUUAGAUCAUGCCUUUGGCCUACCUAGUCAAAGACACCCCUCCUUGCUUGCUCUAGAUCAGUGGUUCUUAACCUUUACUGCAGCCUGCAACCCUUUGGUUCUCAAAAUAUGGUUUUGCACCCCUUAUCAAAAAUCAAAAUACGUUCUCGCACCGUUAAAACCUAAAAUAUAUGUUCUUGCACCCCUUAAAUCUAGAUAUAUUUUGUAGUUGUAUUUACGGGCCUGUGCUUAAUUUCUGUUUUCGAUGAUUUACCUUCUAAAAAAAUCUGGCAUGUCUUGCACCCCCAGGAAGGGCAUCUUGCACCCCCAGGGGGUGCGUGCACCCCAGGUUAAGAACCACUGCUCUAGAUGAUCUAAUGGACUCUGUCUCUUCCCCCCCAUCUAGUCCCUCCUCUCAUCUGGCUUCAGUCUCUUUCCUGUCACUUCAGACAGACAUUGCCAUCCCACUGUUGGUACAAGAGCCUUCUCCUCAGCAGCCCUGACUAUACCUCUCCCCAGUGGCCACACAACUGGGCUAUAAUUAAUGCUUACAUAACAGCUAGUGUACCAGUAGUUUAGAAGACUCAUUACAGAGCUUUGAUCAGUAACAUUCUCUGCCCUGAAGAGCUACCAAUCUAACAAGACAAGAGAUCUGUGCAGGGAGGGAGAGGAUGCCCAGCAGAGAGCGACAGACCUGUUCAAGAUGUAGGGGUCAGCACAGCAGCAGGCACAGAGCUGGGUACAAGAAAAGGAGAUGCCAGUGAAAGGACUGAGACGUGGUAAAGAAGGAGACACAACAAAGGCAUAAGAAACAGCUGGAGCAGUGGGGAACAGAGAGCACAGCAACAGGCACAUCAGAAAAACAAAAGGAGCAAUGGCAUUUUGGACAUAUUGGUGUGAAAACAGGAGAGGGGCAGACGGGAGAUCACUAGGGCUUAGACUAAAAGUGUAGCAGUGUAAACAGGGAGCAAAGGUGGACAGGAGGCAUCAACAGGGCGAUGUGGAGUACGGCUCUGCUGAACACCCAAGGCUACAGAGGAUGGGGUGGAGGAAAGUAUCAGCACAGAGGCGGGAGCUGAAGCCCUGGGAGCAGCCAGGUGGGUCAAGUAAGAAGAUAUGACAGAACCCCGCGUGAAAAAUCACUAUGCUCUCUAAUGAGCUCACACAGGAAAAUGAUAAAAGACAAAAACAAAACAAGACAAACACUUUUAACAAAGUGAUCGCUCUUUAUCUGACCUACCAGUCUUCGACCUCAAAGGACACCUGCACAGCACUUUGAAAAGUGCGAGCUUAAACUCAUAACUUUGUUAGACACUAAAAACCGUGGUCUUAAAUACAGACAUUGGAUUUAUAGCUUAUUACAACAAUCUGUAACCCACUAACCCCCCUUUUUGUCCUAUGACUACACGGGUGUUAAUGGGCGACUUCACCUCGAA